RNAcentral lists this ribosomal RNA (504 nucleotides) under uncultured Glomus. RNAcentral describes it as "SSU rRNA". It matches the Rfam family "Eukaryotic small subunit ribosomal RNA", at positions 569 to 1078 of the family's 1831-position model. The record is from RNAcentral. Lineage: Eukaryota; Fungi; Glomeromycota; Glomeromycetes; Glomerales; Glomeraceae.
AGCAGCCGCGGUAAUUCCAGCUCCAAUAGCGUAUAUUAAAGUUGUUGCAGUUAAAAAGCUCGUAGUUGAAUUUCGGGAUCAAUAUAUCGGUCGUGCCUUGGUACGUACUGGUAUCAUUGGUUUCUCCUUUCUGACGAACCAUGAUGUCAUUAAUUUGGUGUUAUGGGAAGUUAGGACUGUUACUUUGAAAAAAUUAGAGUGUUUAAAGCAGGCUUUAGCUUGAAUACAUUAGCAUGGAAUAAUGAAAUAGGACGUUCGAACCUAUUUUGUUGGUUUCUAGGAUCAACGUAAUGAUUAAUAGGGAUAGUUGGGGGCAUUAGUAUUCAAUUGUCAGAGGUGAAAUUCUUGGAUUUAUUGAAGACUAACUACUGCGAAAGCAUUUGCCAAGGAUGUUUUCAUUAAUCAAGAACGAAAGUUAGGGGAUCGAAGACGAUCAGAUACCGUCGUAGUCUUAACCAUAAACUAUGCCGACUAGGGAUCGGAUGAUGUUAAUUUAAUGACUCA